This 2463-nucleotide long non-coding RNA is filed under the name Capsicum annuum. Its description in RNAcentral is "long non-coding RNA (CANN_LNC012020)". Lineage: Eukaryota; Viridiplantae; Streptophyta; Magnoliopsida; Solanales; Solanaceae. The record is from RNAcentral.
UGCUUCAGAUGUAGACAAUUUGAAGAAGGGCUUAAGGUCUUUGCAGAGAUGAGAAGGAAAGGAUAUACAUAUGAUGCCUUUGCUUACUGUACAGUUGCAAGUAUGUUACUUAAAACUGGGAAGAUGAAUGAGGCCAACGAGUACCUGGGCUAUAUAAUUACAAAUGGUUUUGACCUUGAUAUGGUGUCUUUUAAUACCAUUGUUAAUCUAUAUUGUAAGGAAGGUCGGCUGGAUAAUGCUUAUAAGUUGUUGUACGAGGCAGAAAAAAAAGGGUUGGAGUCUGACAAGUACACCUACACUAUCUUGAUUGAUGGUUUGUGCAGGACUGGUAAUUUCAAAGAGGCCAAGCAACAUUUGGACUAUAUGACUUUGAUGGGUUUUGAUUCCAACUUGGUUGCUUUGAAUUCUUUUAUUAAUGGGUUGUGUAAAGCUGGUCAUCUUGAUCAUGCUUUACGGAUGUUCGAAUCAAUGGAUGUGAAAGAUUCUAUUACGUACUCCACUAUGGUGCAUAGUCUUUGCAAAGCCAGGAGAUUUCGUGCAGCAUCUAAGCUAUUACUAUCAUGUAUAAGAGGCGGCAUGAGAAUCCUUAAAUCAGAUAAACGUGGUGUUAUUGAUGGCCUUCGUUCUUCUGGAUAUUCGCAAGAAGCAAGGAAGGUUCAGUCUAAAAUUCUUUUAGCUAAGAUACUGCAAAAUUAAUUAGGGAUGAUGUUCAACUUUGCCACUCAAGUGUUAACCGUGUUUAAUUGCCUAAGGUUUUGCAUUAUAACGCUUUGUGGAAGCUUUAAAACUUCAGGGAUCAUGCAACUGAGAAUACAGCCUACAUCAACCAGUUUUAAUUCAAGUACUCGAUCCUCUUGUAAGAGGCAAAUGCAUGACACUGCUGUCAGGUGGUCGUGAGUUAUAUACAUUUCCUCGCUACUGCGAAGAGUCAUUUUGUGGAAGUAAAUGCAUGGUUUAUUACAGAUGCUAAACAGUUAGGUGGGCCGAAACUGUCAGUCAUUUACACUUCCAGAUAAUCUCUGUUCAUUUGUUCUCUUGUAAUGUUUAGUAUUGAAUUUCGAAGCAAGAUAAUAGAGGACAUCAGUUUACUUCUGGGUUGCUCUUUUCUGCAGCAUGCCAUUCUUGGCUCUGAAUCUGAAAUCAUUAAGCUGUCAUGUUUGGCUGCAGAUAAAUCAAAGGUGAGGAUUGUUCUCAGCUUUUUCCCUGAAUAGGUAGAAAUGAAGUGUUCCUACAUAUUUUAGCCGGAUUUAUCUUUUUUCCUCUUUGAAGUUGUUUAAGAUGUGUCGAGUAUAGACAGUUCCUUUUUCCAGACCUUUUAAAUGACCACAACUAUUGAAUGCUAUCAAAUUUAUUGAUAACAGAUGUCGUGGUAUGCCUCUGAUCAUUUGCGGACUUUAAUGCGGUUGCAAAAUGGGUUACUACUUGAAGAGAAGUUUGCGUAUGGAAGAAAGCUGAAGUUGUAAUAGUUGAUGGCGUAAGAAUUGGAGUACAACCAGAUGUGGUCACUUAUAAUACAUUGGUUACUGCGUAUUGCCGCUUUGUUGGCAUUGAUGCAGGUUAUUCCAUCCUAUAUAGAAUGAAAGAGGCUGGAAUUAACCCUGACGUUAUUACGUAUAACUCCUUAAUAGCUGGAGCUACCAGAUAUUGCAUGUUAUCUCGAUGUCUGGAUCUGUUUGAAGAAAUGCUUGAGAUGAGCAUUUUUCCUGAUAUUUGGAGUUACAAUACAUUAAUGCAUUGCUUCUUUAAAUUGAGAAAGCCAGAUGAGGUGUACCGGGUUUUUCAGGAUAUUCUUAUGAAAGAUAUUUCUGUUCAUCCAGCAACAUUUAUUUCUGUUCAUCCAGCAACAUAAGAAUGGAUAUACAGAGAAUGCCUUAAUGUUAUUUAGGAGUAUAAAACGUCAUGGAUUUAUUCCCCAAUUAGCAACUUACAACAUUCUUAUUCAUGGGCUGUGCAAGUUAGGACGGGGAAAAGCUGCAAGAGAGUUUCUCAACGAGCUGGUAGAAUCAGGUCAUAUCCCCAAUGCCAUCACUUAUACGACAGUAAUGAAGUGCUGCUUCAGAUGUAGACAAUUUGAAGAAGGGCUUAAGGUCUUUGCAGAGAUGAGAAGGAAAGGAUAUACAUAUGAUGCCUUUGCUUACUGUACAGUUGCAAGUAUGUUACUUAAAACUGGGAAGAUGAAUGAGGCCAACGAGUACCUGGGCUAUAUAUUACAAAUGGUUUUGACCUUGAUAUGGUGUCUUUUAAUACCAUUGUUAAUCUAUAUUGUAAGGAAGGUCGGCUGGAUAAUGCUUAUAAGUUGUUGUACGAGGCAGAAAAAAAAGGGUUGGAGUCUGACAAGUACACCCACACUAUCUUGAUUGAUGGUUUGUGCAGGACUGGUAAUUUCAAAGAGGCCAAGCAACAUUUGGACUAUACGACUUUGAUGGGUUUUGAUUCCAACUUGGUUGCUUUGAAUUCUUUUAU